RNAcentral lists this transfer RNA (78 nucleotides) under Salmo salar (Atlantic salmon). It matches the Rfam family "tRNA", at positions 8 to 63 of the family's 71-position model. From Rfam's summary of the family: Transfer RNA (tRNA) molecules are approximately 80 nucleotides in length. Their secondary structure includes four short double-helical elements and three loops (D, anti-codon, and T loops). Further hydrogen bonds mediate the characteristic L-shaped molecular structure. tRNAs have two regions of fundamental functional importance: the anti-codon, which is responsible for specific mRNA codon recognition, and the 3' end, to which the tRNAs corresponding amino acid is attached (by aminoacyl-tRNA synthetases). tRNAs cope with the degeneracy of the genetic code in two manners: having more than one tRNA (with a specific anti-codon) for a particular amino acid; and 'wobble' base-pairing, i.e. permitting non-standard base-pairing at the 3rd anti-codon position. The record is from Rfam by way of RNAcentral. Lineage: Eukaryota; Metazoa; Chordata; Actinopteri; Salmoniformes; Salmonidae.
UGGCUCAGUUGGAAGAGCAUGGUGUUUGCAACGCCAGCAUGGUGUGUGCAAGGCCAGGGUUGUGGGUUCGAUUCCCAC